Molecule: transfer RNA, 91 nt
Filed under: Pseudomarimonas arenosa
Lineage: Bacteria; Pseudomonadati; Pseudomonadota; Gammaproteobacteria; Lysobacterales; Lysobacteraceae
Description: tRNA-Ser
Rfam family: tRNA
About the family: Transfer RNA (tRNA) molecules are approximately 80 nucleotides in length. Their secondary structure includes four short double-helical elements and three loops (D, anti-codon, and T loops). Further hydrogen bonds mediate the characteristic L-shaped molecular structure. tRNAs have two regions of fundamental functional importance: the anti-codon, which is responsible for specific mRNA codon recognition, and the 3' end, to which the tRNAs corresponding amino acid is attached (by aminoacyl-tRNA synthetases). tRNAs cope with the degeneracy of the genetic code in two manners: having more than one tRNA (with a specific anti-codon) for a particular amino acid; and 'wobble' base-pairing, i.e. permitting non-standard base-pairing at the 3rd anti-codon position.
Source: RNAcentral
GGAGAGGUGGCAGAGUGGUCGAAUGCGCCGGAUUCGAAAUCCGGUUUACGGGUCUCCCGUAACGAGGGUUCGAAUCCCUCCCUCUCCGCCA